GAACCGUACGAACGUUUAUUCGGAAUUACUGGGCUUAAAGGGUGCGUAGGCUGCACGGAAAGUUGGGUGUGAAAGCCCUCAGCUCAACUGAGGAAUUGCAUCCAAAACUGCCGUGCUUGAGGGAGACAGAGGUGAGCGGAACUCAAGGUGGAGCGGUGAAAUGCGUUGAUAUCUUGAGGAACACCGGUGGCGAGAGCGGCUCACUGGGUCUCUUCUGACGCUGAGGCACGAAAGCUAAGGUAGCAAACGGGAUUAGAUACCCCGGUAGUCUUAGCUGUAAACGAUGAGCACUUGAUUGGAGGGUCCUCCAUAGCCUUCCAGUCGUAGCGAAAGUGUUAAGUGCUCCGCCUGGGAGUAUGGUCGCAAGGCUG
RNAcentral lists this ribosomal RNA (371 nucleotides) under uncultured organism. Its description in RNAcentral is "partial 16S ribosomal RNA". It matches the Rfam family "Bacterial small subunit ribosomal RNA", at positions 527 to 896 of the family's 1533-position model. The record is from RNAcentral.